This 409-nucleotide ribosomal RNA is filed under the name uncultured bacterium. RNAcentral's name for it is "bacterial SSU rRNA". It matches the Rfam family "Bacterial small subunit ribosomal RNA", at positions 96 to 524 of the family's 1533-position model. The record is from RNAcentral.
UGGCGGACGGGUGAGUAAUGAAUCGCUAAUGUGCCCCGGACUCUGGGAUAGCUAACCGAAAGGUUAGGUAAUACCAGAUGAUAUGCAGCUAUCGCAUGAUAGUUGCCUCAAAGGUCCGCCGGUCUGGGAGCAGGCGAUUUCGUAUCAGCUAGUUGGUGAGGUAACGGCUCACCAAGGCGACGACGCGUAGCCGGACUGAGAGGUUGGCCGGCCACAUUGUGACUGAGACACUGCCCAGACUCCUACGGGGGGCUGCAGUAACGAAUCUUCCGCAAUGCACGAAAGUGUGACGGAGCGACGCCGCGUGUAGGAGAAGCCCUUCGGGGUGUAAACUACUGUCAGGGGUUAGAAAGUUCCGAUCAACCCCAGAGGAAGGCACGGCUAACUCUGUGCCAGCAGCCGCGGUAAU